CUUGACCACUCGGCCACGGGGCCCAUUCCUACACUGGCUUUUUAGGUAAGCUAAGUUAGUAAUUUAGUCAGGUAAACUAACUAAGAGGAGGCACUUAAUAAUUAUUCUUAAAAUAACAGCAAUUUGCUCUAAAGUGACGUUUCGAGUUCACCUAGACUAGAAACUGAAAUACAACUUCUAAAAAGCAACUUCUCUUACUUCAAAACAAAACCAAAACCCUACGACCCUCUAAGUGGACACCUGCAACACAGAGUAAACGACCGCCCCCAUCACAGCAACAAGUAACAGUGUCUGUGUCUUCCCUCCCUGACCUUGACCCCACAUGCAGACUCGUCCUUCCCGAACUGCCCGGGCAGCUGGAUCGCAGCGCAUGGCGAAGGCGGGAGGUGCACUUCCCCCGGACCAGCGGGCUCGGGCUCCACAGUGACAGCGUCCAGGCCACAGAUGGGUCUUGCCAGUUGCUCCUCUCUGGGCCUGGCCUGAGCCCUUCGGAUGGUGUCAGCCCCGGGGCCUGGACCCAGGGUUUGAGGGCGAGGCUCCCGGGGCUUCUGCCUCAUGCGGAGGUUAGGUUACAAAGCCUGCAUGAAAGACUCCAAAUUCAUUUAGUCAAUUUACCCUUGAAAAUUCCUUAAAUGAACAGAAUGUAGGGCCCUUGGAAGCUCAAAAUCUAAUAAUUCACUUUGUUCUGUUUUCAUUUUGGCUGUGGCCUUGCUUUCCUUGGAACUGUGAAGACCAAGGUCUCAUUUGAACGAGGUGGGAAUUAGAGGAGGGUCAAGGGUUGACGAGCUCUCUCACACGUUUGAUUCAUCGCAAGUUUACGUGUGCAUGUGACGUGGCUCCUGCGUGUCGAUGUGGUGGGGGACAUCGCGGGCACAGAUACGUUGUGUCACUCAAUCUCACAGUGGCCAUAGGAGCAGGCUGGAGCCGUGCAUCCGUCAGUUGCAGGAGACAAAAAAUCCAGCGCAGAGGGAGUUUGCAGACUCUGGGAACUGGCCGUGUGAGCACUGACCAGGCUUCAGGCCUGGCUCUAACAAUCUGGGGUCUGAUCUCUCGCAGUCUUCCCUCUUUGCUCCCUGACGAGUUGGCCUCGCUCUCAGCUAGUCUCUUCCGAUUGAAGGCAAAGUGGUCACUCGCGGCUCCUGAGGUAGCCUCCUCCUCUGUCAACUUACAGCCUCAGUGGAAAAGCAGCCUUUACCACGAGCUCAGCAAGAGGCUCAGGAAGGGUUUUCAUUGGUCCAGCUCGAGUCACACACCUGUCCCUGACCAAUCACGGGGCUGUGUGUGAAUUAAGUGCCCACCCCUGGAGACCCUCAUGGACUGAGAGCCGGGGAGGGGGGUCCCCAAAGAAAAGAGGUAGUUUUUUUUUUAACCUGUUUGGGUCAUUUCUUCACCCUUCAUUUUAUUUUAUUGUGGUAAAACACGCACAACAUAAAAUUUACCAU
This 1442-nucleotide long non-coding RNA is filed under the name Equus asinus (donkey). RNAcentral describes it as "lncRNA (ENSEASG00005036267.1)". The record is from RNAcentral. Lineage: Eukaryota; Metazoa; Chordata; Mammalia; Perissodactyla; Equidae.